This 429-nucleotide ribosomal RNA is filed under the name Mantidactylus aff. femoralis 'Betampona'. Its description in RNAcentral is "partial 16S ribosomal RNA". It matches the Rfam family "Bacterial large subunit ribosomal RNA", at positions 1915 to 2519 of the family's 2925-position model. The record is from RNAcentral. Lineage: Eukaryota; Metazoa; Chordata; Amphibia; Anura; Mantellidae.
AAAUUUUAACGGCCACGGUACCCUAACCGUGCGAAGGUAGCAUAAUCACUUGUUCUUUAAAUGGGGACUUGUAUCAACGGCAUCACGAGGGUUCUACUGUCUCCUUUAUCUAAUCAGUGAAACUAAUCUCCCCGUGAAGAAGCGAGGAUAACACUAUAAGACGAGAAGACCCCAUGGAGCUUUAAACCCAAUUAUAUUCCCAAUCCCUACAACCAUUUAAUCCUUUGGGUCCUAUAUACUUGGUUUUAGGUUGGGGCGACCACGGAGUAAAACUAAACCUCCAUGAUGUACGGAACAACCUCCUUAUCUAAGAGCCACAGCUCUAAGGAUUAGCACACUAUCAUGUGGUGGCCCGUUUUUGAUCAACGAACCAAGUUACCCUGGGGAUAACAGCGCAAUCCAUUUUAAGAGCCCCACGAAAAAGGGUUU